Molecule: ribosomal RNA, 519 nt
Filed under: uncultured eukaryote
Lineage: Eukaryota
Description: bacterial SSU rRNA
Rfam family: Eukaryotic small subunit ribosomal RNA
Source: RNAcentral
AGGGCACCACCAGGAGUGGAGCCUGCGGCUUGAUUUGACUCAACACGGGAAAACUUACCCGGCCCGGACACUGGAAGGAUUGACAGAUUGAGAGCUCUUUCUUGAUUCAGUGGGUGGUGGUGCAUGGCCGUUCUUAGUUGGUGGAGCGAUUUGUCUGGUUAAUUCCGAUAACGAACGAGACUCUAGCCUACUAAAUAGACUGUUCGGCUUUAUAGCCGGAAUCACCGGGCAUGUAGCUCUCACGGGUUGCAUGUUCGGCUCUGGUGACGUUGGCAGUGCUUCUUAGAGGGACAGGCGGCGGUCCAGCCGCACGAAACAGAGCAAUAACAGGUCUGUGAUGCCCUUAGAUGUCCGGGGCUGCACGCGCGCUACACUGAAGUGAUCAGCGUGCAAUUUACGUUUGGUGAUCUGUCAAGAUUGCCCAACCCGUUGAGCCUUCUUCGUGAUUGGGAUAGGGGAUUGUAAUUAUUCCCCUUGAACGAGGGAUUCCCAGUAAGCGCAAGUCAUAAGCUUGCGUUG